Long non-coding RNA from Lynx canadensis (Canada lynx), 1319 nucleotides. RefSeq lists it as uncharacterized. The record is from RefSeq and is a predicted model, not a curated record. NCBI's taxonomy places the organism in Eukaryota, Metazoa, Chordata, Mammalia, Carnivora, Felidae. The transcript has 3 exons.
CCGGGAGAGAGGGAAGGACAGAGCUGAGCAGAGAGACUAAACAUUUCCUCUAAAGGGAAAGCCGGGAAUCACCCCCAAACCAUGGAAUCACCGUGGCUGGUUAUUGAACCCAGGUCUGAUCUGCUCGCUGCACGAGAGAGACAAGAGUGUUGGGACAAGGAAAGUGAUUUUAUUCGAGAGAGUCACCUAACCCAGAACAUGGCCUUCUGACGUCCCAAUAAACCACCCUCCUGUGUCGGUGCAGGCAGGGGUUUUACAGGAGAGACGUGAAGAGAGAAACCAGCUCAUACAAGCACUUGAGCAGUCCAGCUCAAAGGAUCUUGAAAGGGCAGGGGAAAGCCUUCCCCCCUGAUAAGUCAUGACCAUUCACGUCCCUGCACUGAGGUCACGUUCAAACUGAAAAAAGAAGAAGGAAAAAAACCCCCACAAAAACCAAAGUGAGUCGCAAGCAAGGUCUUGUCUCUUCCAAGCGGUGUCACUUUGGGCAGUCGCCUGUCUCUCCCGGUCUCAGUUACCUCCUCUUUAAGACGGAGGGCUUCGUCUUGGUCACGCUAGAGGCUGUGAGUCUGCGGAUCUGGAGCCUCUGGAGGGAUGGUGACUCUGGUCAUUGCUGACCCAGCUGGAGCCACCUCUGUCCCUGGACUUCAGUUGCUGAGGCCUGUCUCCAGGUUCAAAGUUGGUGGGUGGUUUCGGCAGGUGGUCUGUUAGGUGGUCUGUGCCUCUGCCCCCAGCGGCUCUUCCCAUGCUUACCCAUCAGGGGGACUUGCCGCCGGCCACAUCCCUCCUGCCUUUCUUCCUCAAGGGCUCUGCCAUCAGGUCUGAUCAGGACCCGAGCAAUUCUUGGCACUGACGUGGCCUGACAAAUGUUCAGCGAGGCCUGGGAGGUAUUCCGCGUGUUUGCUGCCCAGCCCGGAUAUUUCUAGGGUCUUUCCUCGUUCUAGCCAGUAAGAGAUCAGAGCAUGAACCUCCCACGAGAACCCGCGGAGCAGGGAGGGCAAGGCAGCGGGGGCAAGAGGGAGGCCGUGCUGGCUGUCCAGGUUGGGGAGCAAAGGCCAAGGAUUAUCUCAGCGUCGAACUCGGAGAUGACUAAAGUGCGCGGUGCCCGGCACACGGUGUAACCUCGCCUUGCACCUUUAUUCAGCAGGGACCCACUGAGCUCCUCCUGUGUGCCAAGCACCGCUGUAGGCACGCGCCGGUGAUCAAAAUCAGGCGAUAACGAAUCUGUGCCACCGUGGCUCUGACUUUCUCAUUGGAGAGACUGGACGAAAGUGUAGUAAGGGAGGUAUUAUGUUAGAUGGCCACACGCUGAGCAAAAUGAA